UAGCAAAAAUGUUGCAUGCCACUGUGGAGCUGGGAGCUUCUGAGUUCAUGCUCAGUUUUGCUUUUGGAUAAUGCUUCUUUUGCAACUAUUUUACCUUUUUUCCUAAAUCUGCUUCAUGGGUGGCAGGGCUGAUAUUUCCCCUCACCCUUCGUGAUCUCAAAGUCUUUUCAAGCAUUUGAAAGGCCAAGUGUCAAUCAGGAUGAAGGUGUGAAGAAGUAGUCAAGGCUGUUGGUAUUUUUCAAGUGUCUUUCAUUCUCCUGUUCAAUUUUUCAAGUGUUGGUUGGUGCCUAUUUAAUGGAGGCUCAGGUUAAAUCCAUGCUAAGAAACAUUGUUGUGUAACAGGAGCCUGUCUGCAGCAUUUAGCUUUGGGUUUCAUUUCAGCUGAAGGGAUCCAAUUCAUGCGUGGCAGGGCAGCUCCAUGGCAGCAGGAGGUGAGGUGGUGGAAGUGGUGGUAAUCACUUGAAUCACUUUACAAGUGCCUUCCUGAUCUGAAAGUCAAUGCUUGCAUGAGGUCCCUAUAGAUGAGCCCUGCAAAAAGCAUAUUCCAAAGGAGCCUGGGGAGAAGAGGAGGUUGAACCGUUGGUUUCAGAUCUACAAGGUAAAGAGGAAGGGUCCUGUGACUCUGCAGAUCAGCUUCCAUCUGCAAUUUCACCUCAUUUGGCAAGAGAAGACAACCGUGUGCUGGAGUCAAGUCAGGGUGACAGGAAUGGCUGGUCCAAAGGAACUGGUGCGGCGCUGGAGCCUGGCAUGGACCAGCUUACAUUGAUGUGUCUGCCCAGAAUCUAUCUUUGCAGCAGAAAAUAAAAUUGAAGCAGGUUUCUUCAGAAGAAAGAAGUUUUGUGUUUCUUUAACGACUUGAGAAUGACCCAGUGUCAGGACCCAGAGGGACAGAAGUUAUUCUCUAUCCUCUGAGCUGAAAGUGGGUUUAGAUGGACUCAAGAAGAGACCUAUUCCCUUCUGCUGACAAACUGUCUGUGUAAACCAUCACUGGAGUGAUCACUCGACCACUUAAGGAACCUGAACAUACAUAAGUCCAUGAGACCUGAUGAGAUGCAUCCCACAGUCCUGAGUGAACUGGCUGAUAUAGUUGCCCAGCCAGUCUCCAUGAUAUUUGAGAAGUCAUGGCCGUCAGGUGAAGUCCCUGCCAACUGGAAGAAGGGAAACAUUGCAUCCACUUUUAAAAAGGGUAGAAAAGAGGACCCCAGGAACUACUAACCUGUCAGCCCCACCUCUGUGCCUCUGAUUUGAGACUGCCAGCAUGGCUUCACCAAGGGCAAUUCCUACCUGAACAACCUAGUGGCCUUCUACAAUGGAGUAAUUUCACCAGCGGAUGUGGAGGGGUUGCUGUUAGAUGGAGAUUUGUUACUGAACCAGCCAGGAAUUUCAAGGCUGGGAACAGGAUCUGCCGUGGGAGAGAAACAACUCCGAAAUAACAAGGCCCGAACGUGGUGUAAAUCAAUGAACCUAUCAGCAGUGAGACUUCGGCACAUGGACAGCUUGUGAACAUAGAUGAUAUCCAAUUAGCAAAUGCAUGCUUAGAGCGUGGAUGCGUGAUCAGAUAAUAGUUGCAUAUAUAAGGAGGCUUGUUUCUGUAAUAAAUGGCUUUGCGUGAUUCACAUUGAAUCAGAAUGCUGAGUCCUUUAUUCACUCCAACAAAUGGUGUGACACUGACGUGAUGCUCUGAACGGCAUAUCACUAUGAUCGGGGAAAAGCCUGGAGUGGCCCAGCCAGAGGCGGAUCAGCUGGACUGAGAACCAGGCGGAGGCAUAUGGACGUUCCACAGAUAAAUUUGUCAAAGAAAUCACCGGAAAAGGUGAGCAGCUAGGGCAGGAGGAGGGAAGAGUGAAGCUCCUCCUGAUAUUCUCUCUGUGAGAGGACUUAAAUAUUAAGAAAGUAACAUACGUAGACUGUUGGUUUGGUGUAGAACUAACGGCUACCUGGCAGAAACCAAGAAGGCUUUUAAACUUGAACUUUGGGAUGAUAUAGGGCAGAAAUUAUGGGAUAAGGUCAGCAAUGGAGAUAAAGAAGCUAAAUCAUUAGCAACUACAUGGAAGGUUACAAUUACCACCUUAAAAGAUCUUAAGGCUGAACAGUCUGCUUCUGACGGAGUUUUUGCAGCUUUGCAGCCUGAUAAGAAACCUGAAAGUCGCUGUGAAGUUUACCUGGUUCGUGUCUUUGAUACCCUCCCUACUCCAUCCCCUGUUGUGCCUUCGGUGCCCCAGUUGGCUCAGCAGUCUGGGACGGCGCGGGGGAAAAUGCCAAGUGGGUGGCCUCCUACUCAAUUACCCAACGCUGCUGAGAAUAGCAAGUCCAAAGAAUUGGAGUCAGACAAUUUGCCCAAGGAACCUGUGAAAGCCUAGAAUGUUAAAGUCAUAAACAAGUGUACUGUCAGUCCUUUUACCAAUUUGUAUCUGCCUUUACCACCUUUUAAUCCUCCAACUUCCACAAGAGAGCAGAAGGAGUCACCGGAUAAGAACUGGGCAAAAGAACUGUGUGAAGGAUUAGAUCAGCUAAUAGUGAGUGAAUCCAGCAGUCGGCAAUGCGGUCAUGAUGAUCGUGACGGGAAAGGGGAUGCGCAUGGGGACUCAGGUUAUACAAAUAAUUAUGAUGCUAGAAAACAUUGGCGAGAAUGCACACUGUUCCGAACCCCCCUGUUACUAAUGAUUCUCCAGCACCAUUCAAGUCCGUGUUAUCUGAUGACUCAGAUGAGGGUCUGCAGCAUUUUUUUUUGAAAAGUUAACAGGAAAAAGAGUAUGUGUACAUGUUGCCCCGAGAUCAGAUAAAAACUAUGAAAGACUCAAGCAAAAUUAGGCCUAUGUAACGUAACAGCUAUUGAUCAUUUAGGACAGAACAAUGGGGACUCAUUGAAAGGGGCAGGUAUCCCACAACCCUUGGAACAGACACUAAUUGACACACCACAAUUACAGGCCCAUUUAGUUUCUGAAAUCCUGAGGCAGUCAACAGAUCUUGCAUAUUAAGCUAUGAUAAAGGUGCCUGAAACCAACAAAGCAGCCAAAUCUUUUAUAACUACUAUCAGGGUCCCAGUGAAGAUUACAUGCAAUUUAUUGACCAUCUUCAAGAGGCCAUCAAUAAGCAGGUUGAAAACUUAGAAGUUAAGGAAGCAGUGGUGUUGAAAUUCUCAGUAGAGAAUGCUAAUGUUUGCUAUCAACAUGUUAUCUGAGUUUUACAGUACAUAUUAUGUACGCCUGUGUAUUGCCUCUCUGAAAAUCAAGCAGCUUGUCAGGAAUGUGAGUUAAUUGUUUUACUAGUUGUUUUUAAGUGUGCCAUGAAACCUUCUCCCCAUUUUUCCCAAUCACACUGCAAGCAGCCCUGUGCUUUCCCCCCUCUCUCCCUCUUCUCAUGGUUUUUACAUACAAGAUGGGGUCAGAAAUUACUGUUUUCAGUUGUGUUCCUAAGUAAUCAGUAUUGGGAGGUGUUUUAGAACAUAGGAAAGCACUUGGAAAUAGGAGAAAAUAUUGAAAUUAGUGUUGGCUGCUGUACAAGUUUGAAUGAUUGGGAAAAGUGUCCGGAGAAUAGAAUCUUGAAGUAUAACACCUUGUUGCAAUUAAUGUUGUUUUUAAGGUGAGAAGAGCAGGACAAAAAUGAAUCUCUACAAGAGAUCAUUAAAUCAUUUCAGACAGUUUUGCAGGUGGAACAAUUUGAACUUCAACAAGCUGAGAGAGUUAACUGAUAACACACAGGUCAGAAAACUUGCUGAAGUCUGCAAGGUGCUUUCCUUAUUAACCUGUUUUCUUUGUGGGUAUCUGUUUAAGCAUGUUGCAAUUUUGCUAGGUCUUUGUUAUAUGGUACAAUAAGUUCACAGACUGCUAAAUCAUGAGAAUCUGUUGACUCAAAAUGUGUGUUUUGUGAUAAUACAGAAGACCACGAGUAAUUUAGUUCUAUACUGCAUGAAUGUGAUGGUAAAAUUUUUGUGUGUAGUAGCUGUUAUUUUUCUUUCUAGCAUGCUAGCUUUAUUCCGGUAUCCAGACUUGCACAACUCUGUGAUAGGCUGUGUCUCAUCUCGAUGUGCUGGAUUUGGCUCUUUUGUAUGCACACCAUGUAAAGAAUCCUAGUUUUGGGAUAACAAUUAUAGCGCACCAGAUUAGACACUAAAAAAAAAAAAAUCCUUGCCCAGACCAGCUUGCUGCAGCGGCGGGGGGGCAGGUGCCAAUGGGGCUCCAGCGCGCACUGACCUGUUUUGUCAGGGAGACCCAGAGGUACCUCCACCUGGCUGAGUAGUAAGCAGUUCAAAGGUGCAAUGCAAAAAUUGAGAUAUUGUCUUAAAUUAGUGUAACUGUGAUCCAUCUGCAUAUUUGAACUUGGUAUUUGGUUUUUAUAUCUGAGCUCAGUAUUUUAAUUUGCAUAUAUAUAUAUUUGGUACCAAAAGAAUUUUGUUUGGGGAGAUAAUUACAAAAUGGGAACCGGUUCCACUACUAAAAUACCACGUUGCUUCCCAUUAGGAUGCAUUCUUACAAAUUAGAGUAAUUGCUUAUAUUGUUAUCUAAUAAUGUUGAGACCAGAAAAUAAUUUAAGUUGUUAAACUCUGAUUAGCAUUGAAUGUAUGUGUUUGUUGGAGACAUGGGAACUAAAACUAAAUGCUAUGAUAGAUGUGAAUUUGGAAGAGGUUGUAUUUAAAAGUUGCUAGAAUAUUUACUGAUUUGGAUCUAGGAAAACAGAAUAAUAGAUUUAUGUUUAUUAUACUGGUUUUUGACAUCUGUAAAUUGUGAAAGGUAAAUGGAGCUAAGGAAUGUAACUAUUGCUGAGCUACUUGGAAUUGCAGAUAAAGUGUCUUAUAGUUGGAAUGAAAUGGGAAAACAAUAGAGCAAAAUAUCCCAGGCCUGUGUGAAGCUGCAAGAUAAAUUCAGCUCAUUGUAACUGAGGAGUUUGCCAGAGCCUCCUACUUUGUACCAGCGAUUACACCAGCUGUGUGGCCUUGGCUAUAUCUAAACUGCAGCAAGAAGAGUAAAGAAAAAAAAUAAUAGAAAAACCUGGCUGCCCACUUUCAAGGUGGUGAAAGGGGGGUUUUCUCUCCCCCACACUGCAGCGAUGUUGUAAUACUGAAUGGAGCAGUCUGAGGGUGAAAUUUAAAGGCAUCCCUAGCAGAUCCGUAGUUCUAAUGAAACUCAAAAAUUAAACCAAAAAUUUGUUAAUAGACUUAUUCUGUGGUAACUAGUUGUAAAAGACUUCUUAGUAAAUUCACUGUGAUAGUUUUUGAGAUCAUGGGAAAGAAAGAAAGAAAGACUGUUUUUGUUUUUUGAGACCAAUGCAUUGCCAAAUUUGGAACAAAGUUUUGCCAUACGAAUUCUUGUAUUUGCCAGAAAGUCCUGUACCUCUCUAGGGUCAAGAUUUGUUAAGAAAAUUGUAAGCUCAAAUAACGUUUUCUGAGAAUUCUGUUUAGUUGCAUGUCCUACAAGAAGCUGUGUGGAUGGUGCAGAUCUGCUUGCUGCAAGUGAGAAAUCUCCAAGGACAUUUCAAAUGCUGUAUUUCCACUACUAUUAACAGCCAAUGUUUCAAUAAAGCAAACACUACACUGAUAGAACUGAAACAGGACUUCGAUCCGGUAAGGAAUACAAUAUCCAAUAAAUAUGACAACCAAAAUGGAAUUAGAGACUUUGAUGAAUAAAUUUCUGACAACCUUACAAUCUAACUGCAUUCCAUUGGACUUGCAGAUUUGUCUAUGAAACAACCUGUGGCUAUUGUUGGACAGUAUGAUGAGAAUGCUAACAGACUGAUAUACCAAUUGUUACUCUGAAAGAAAACGCAGGGAAUGAAUUUAAGUCUUAAUAGGCCAUGAUCCUUUUGUCAUGUAUGUACCAUUUGUGAAAUUUAAUUUUGAUUUUUUGUUUGUAAUCUAUGUCCUUGUAAAUUGCACUAGCUUUUUUUCUUAAUAGCACAGCUUUUGGCAUGCAUAAAUGUAAAUUGCUGCAGAACCUGCAAGUCUUUAACAUCAGGUCACAGACCAUACGUGUAUCUGGUCUGAUCCUACAUACUUGCAAAGUUUUUGUUGAUGGUUCUGGGAAGUCUCAUAAAGCUGAAGUGGUUUGGGGUGAAGAUAACAAUUGGCAUCAUUCUGUAAAAAUUAUUGAAGGUUCAACCCAAUUAGCAGAACUUGGUGCAGCUUUACAGUAUUUAGAGCUUUUUAAGGAGGAACCUCUAAAUUUGAUUUGUGAUUUUGAGUACGUACUCAAUAUCCAACGCAUGUAUCUGAUUCCGAACAUUUUUUUUUUUUUAAAGAAAAAAAAAGGGGGGGGAAGUAGAGGAAACACCACAAAACCAAUUGUCAAAAGCAUUGUAUGUGAUGAAACACUUUGCAAGUAUGACCCAAAACCAUGCUAAAUCAGAAAGAACCUACAUUAGUUAUGGUCAAAUCACUAGUUAAUGGUAAAGGGAAAAGGCCACAUUGAUUGAUAACCUGGGGAAAAGGUUAUGUUUGUGUCAUUACAAGCCAAGGAUCGAAGUGGAUUCCCACGAAAUGGGUCAAGCCAUGGCUGAAUAAAGACAACAAAGAUUCAAUGAAUGCAGAUGGACAGGAGGGAGAUAAGUUGUGAGGACUGUUUCAGAAGUAAACCAUGAAUCAUAAUUCAGCGUUAUAGAUGCUCACAGACCUGGUGAUCUAGAAGCCUAUUAGCAAGCAAGUGGUGUACCUUCUGUGGAGAAUGGCAAUUUGAACAAAUAGCAGGAGAGCCAAAAGGGAGAUAUUACACUUAGAUAGUCAAUGCAAAAAUGAGGUAAAAUUAUGAGACAUUCCUACCAUAGUACCUGCUGCACUCCUUCUCACUGAUCUAGCAGCUGGUAAAGCUUUAGGAGACAUAUCAAAGUUCAGCUACUGUUCUUUUAAAUAGGUUAAUUUAACUCUUGAAAUACUAAUAAUAGAUGUUGAUGGUAUUAGGCAUGUUACUCUACAAAAUCACACAGUUAUAAAUGUUCUACUUUUAACAUUAGGAUUAUGGUUGUGCUGUAUUAACUUGUUUGAUUAUUCUAAAUCUAUUAAUAAGUGCUUUAGACAAACUAGAACCAUACAUUAAUAAGAUGGCCAUAGUAAAGUUAAGGUUUGACAUAUAGCUUAUAAGUUUUGGAAUAAGUGGGUAGUUGUUUGAUCUUAUUAAAUAAGGCUUAAUUGGAUUAGAUCUAACUGUAAUUAUUGUGUUAAUCAUGUGCUGUAUAUUGUAGUGUAUUUCAAAGAUGAUUCAGCAUGCUGUGAAUGGGGCCUGGCUGGUUCAAGAAGAAAAAGGGGGAAUUGUGGAGGGGUUGCUGUUAGAUGGAGAUUUGUUACCUAACCAGCCAGGAAUUUCAAGGCUGGGAACAGGACCUGCCAUGGGAGAGAAGCAACUCUGAAAUAACAAGGCCUGAAUGUGGUGUAAAUCAACGGACCUAUCAGCAGUGAGACUUCGGCACAUAGACAGCUCAUGAACAUAGAUGAUAUCCAAUUAGCGAAGGCAUGCUUGGAGCAUGGACGUGUGAUCCGAGAAUAGUUGCAUAUAUAAGGAGGCUUGUUUCUGUAAUAAAUGGCUUUGUGUGAUUCACAUUGAAUCGGAA
This is a long non-coding RNA of Columba livia (rock pigeon), 7536 nucleotides long. RefSeq lists it as uncharacterized. Lineage: Eukaryota; Metazoa; Chordata; Aves; Columbiformes; Columbidae. The record is from RefSeq and is a predicted model, not a curated record. The transcript has 6 exons.